GCGGAUGUGGUGGAAUUGGUAGACACGCCAGAUUUAGGUUCUGGUGCCGUAAGGCGUGGGAGUUCAAGUCUCCCCAUCCGCACCA
RNAcentral lists this transfer RNA (85 nucleotides) under Halomonas fontilapidosi. RNAcentral describes it as "tRNA-Leu". It matches the Rfam family "tRNA". Rfam says of the family: Transfer RNA (tRNA) molecules are approximately 80 nucleotides in length. Their secondary structure includes four short double-helical elements and three loops (D, anti-codon, and T loops). Further hydrogen bonds mediate the characteristic L-shaped molecular structure. tRNAs have two regions of fundamental functional importance: the anti-codon, which is responsible for specific mRNA codon recognition, and the 3' end, to which the tRNAs corresponding amino acid is attached (by aminoacyl-tRNA synthetases). tRNAs cope with the degeneracy of the genetic code in two manners: having more than one tRNA (with a specific anti-codon) for a particular amino acid; and 'wobble' base-pairing, i.e. permitting non-standard base-pairing at the 3rd anti-codon position. The record is from RNAcentral. RNAcentral also lists the same sequence under 1 other name. Lineage: Bacteria; Pseudomonadati; Pseudomonadota; Gammaproteobacteria; Oceanospirillales; Halomonadaceae.